This 253-nucleotide ribosomal RNA is filed under the name uncultured bacterium. Its description in RNAcentral is "partial 16S ribosomal RNA". It matches the Rfam family "Bacterial small subunit ribosomal RNA", at positions 524 to 776 of the family's 1533-position model. The record is from RNAcentral.
UACGGGAGAUCCAAGCGUUAUCCGGAAUCAUUGGGUUUAAAGGGUCCGUAGGCGGUUUGGUAAGUCAGUGGUGAAAGCCCAUCGCUCAACGGUGGAACGGCCAUUGAUACUGCCAGACUUGAAUUAUUAGGAAGUAACUAGAAUAUGUAGUGUAGCGGUGAAAUGCUUAGAUAUUACAUGGAAUACCAAUUGCGAAGGCAGGUUACUAACAAUACAUUGACGCUGAUGGACGAAAGCGUGGGGAGCGAACAGG